Molecule: ribosomal RNA, 464 nt
Filed under: Acanthocercus atricollis
Lineage: Eukaryota; Metazoa; Chordata; Lepidosauria; Squamata; Agamidae
Description: partial 16S ribosomal RNA
Rfam family: Bacterial large subunit ribosomal RNA
Source: RNAcentral
GUAACGCCUGCCCAGUGAGUCUUACUUAAACGGCCGCGACUAAACGUGCAAAGGUAGCGCAAUCACUUGUUCCGUAAAUAGGGACCUGUAUGAACGGCCACAUGAGAAAGAAACUGUCUCUUGAAGAUAGCCAGUGAAACUGAUCUGCUUGUUCAAAAGCAAGCAUAAUUAAGCUAGACAAAAAGACCCUGCGAAACUUAAAGCCAAGCAUUAAACAAACUAAUGCCUAACUUUUAGUUGGGGCAACUAUGAUACACUAAACAUCUUAAAGAUCCUAAACCAACAAGUUAAAACUACUCUAACAGAGAUCCGGCACAGCCGACCAACGAACCAAGCUACUCCAGGGAUAACAGCGCCAAAUUCUUUGAGAGUCCACAUCAACAAGAAUUCUUACGACCUCGAUGUUGGAUCAGGGUAUCCAAACAGCGCAGAAGCUGUUAACGGCUCGUUUGUUCAACGACUAA